GCCCUGGUGGCUCAAAUGGUUAAGUGCUUGGCUGCUAACCAAAAGGUUAGUGGUUCGAACCCAUGCAGUGGCU
RNAcentral lists this transfer RNA (73 nucleotides) under Loxodonta africana (African savanna elephant). It matches the Rfam family "tRNA". From Rfam's summary of the family: Transfer RNA (tRNA) molecules are approximately 80 nucleotides in length. Their secondary structure includes four short double-helical elements and three loops (D, anti-codon, and T loops). The record is from Rfam by way of RNAcentral. Lineage: Eukaryota; Metazoa; Chordata; Mammalia; Proboscidea; Elephantidae.